RNAcentral lists this ribosomal RNA (226 nucleotides) under uncultured bacterium. Its description in RNAcentral is "partial 16S ribosomal RNA". It matches the Rfam family "Bacterial small subunit ribosomal RNA", at positions 29 to 240 of the family's 1533-position model. The record is from RNAcentral.
AGUGAACGCUGGCGGCAGGCCUAACACAUGCAAGUCGAGCGGCAGCGGGUUCCCGCGAGGGGAUGCCGGCGAGCGGCGGACGGGUGAGGAACACAUCGGAAUCUGCCUGGUUGUGGGGAUAACGUAGGGAAACUUACGCUAAUACCGCAUGAGACCCUGAGUCGACGGACUGGGGUGAAAGUGAGGGACCUUCGGCCGUCACGCGACCAGAUGAGCCGAUGUCGGA